GACGAACUGUCCUAACGUUGUUCGGAAUCACUGGGCUUAAAGGGCGCGUAGGCGGUCCUACAAGUCAAGGGUGAAAUCCUGCAGCUUAACUGCAGAAGUGCCUUUGAUACUGUCGGUCUUGAGGGAGAUAGGGGUGUGCGGAACUUCCAGUGGAGCGGCGAAAUGCGUUGAUAUUGGAAGGAACGCCGGAGGCGAAAGCGGCGCACUGGAUCUCUUCUGACGCUGAGGCGCGAAAGCUAGGGGAGCAAACGGG
RNAcentral lists this ribosomal RNA (253 nucleotides) under uncultured bacterium. Its description in RNAcentral is "partial 16S ribosomal RNA". It matches the Rfam family "Bacterial small subunit ribosomal RNA", at positions 524 to 776 of the family's 1533-position model. The record is from RNAcentral.